UACGGAGGAUGCAAGCGUUAUCAGGAUUUAUUGGGUUUAAAGGGUGCGCAGGUUGUUUGAUAAGUCAGUGGUGAAAGUCUGUCGCUUAACGGUAGGAUUGCCAUUGAUACUGUUAGACUUGAAUAUGGAUGAGGUAGGCGGAAUGUGUAGUGUAGCGGUGAAAUGCAUAGAUAUUACACAGAACACCGAUUGCGAAGGCAGCUUACUAAUCCAUCAUUGACGCUGAGGCACGAAAGCGUGGGGAUCAAA
RNAcentral lists this ribosomal RNA (249 nucleotides) under uncultured prokaryote. RNAcentral describes it as "partial 16S ribosomal RNA". It matches the Rfam family "Bacterial small subunit ribosomal RNA", at positions 524 to 772 of the family's 1533-position model. The record is from RNAcentral.